This 89-nucleotide transfer RNA is filed under the name Planctomycetota bacterium. RNAcentral describes it as "Planctomycetes bacterium (groundwater metagenome) tRNA-Ser". It matches the Rfam family "tRNA". From Rfam's summary of the family: Transfer RNA (tRNA) molecules are approximately 80 nucleotides in length. The record is from RNAcentral. Lineage: Bacteria; Pseudomonadati; Planctomycetota.
GGAGAGAUGGCAGAGUGGCUGAAUGCACCACCUUGCUAAGGUGGCGUGGGGUUUACACCUCACCGGGGGUUCGAAUCCCCCUCUCUCCG